Molecule: ribosomal RNA, 778 nt
Filed under: uncultured Serratia sp.
Lineage: Bacteria; Pseudomonadati; Pseudomonadota; Gammaproteobacteria; Enterobacterales; Yersiniaceae
Description: bacterial SSU rRNA
Rfam family: Bacterial small subunit ribosomal RNA
Source: RNAcentral
UAACACAUGCAAGUCGAGCGGUAGCACAAGAGAGCUUGCUCUCUGGGUGACGAGCGGCGGACGGGUGAGUAAUGUCUGGGAAACUGCCUGAUGGAGGGGGAUAACUACUGGAAACGGUAGCUAAUACCGCAUAACGUCGCAAGACCAAAGAGGGGGACCUUCGGGCCUCUUGCCAUCAGAUGUGCCCAGAUGGGAUUAGCUAGUAGGUGGGGUAAUGGCUCACCUAGGCGACGAUCCCUAGCUGGUCUGAGAGGAUGACCAGCCACACCGGAACUGAGACACGGUCCAGACUCCUACGGGAGGCAGCAGUGGGGAAUAUUGCACAAUGGGCGCAAGCCUGAUGCAGCCAUGCCGCGUGUGUGAAGAAGGCCUUCGGGUUGUAAAGCACUUUCAGCGAGGAGGAAGGUGGUGAGCUUAAUACGCUCAUCAAUUGACGUUACUCGCAGAAGAAGCACCGGCUAACUCCGUGCCAGCAGCCGCGGUAAUACGGAAGGUGCAAGCGUUAAUCGGAAUUACUGGGCGGUAAGCGCACGCGAGCGGUUUGUGUAAUCAGAUGUGAAAUCCCCGGGCUCAACCUGUGAACUGCGUUUGAAACUGGGCGGCCUAGAGUCCCCGGUAAGGGGGGUAGAAUUCCAGAUGUAACGGGGGCUGGCGUGGGGCUUGUGAGGAUCCCGGGGGGUUGUGCGAGCCCCUGUCCCAAAGACGGCGCUCACGGGCGGGAGAGGGGGGUGCAGUAAACUCGAAGCCCCUGGGUGGCCGCCCGGGGGAGAGGCCGGAA